RNAcentral lists this ribosomal RNA (779 nucleotides) under uncultured Neocallimastigales. RNAcentral describes it as "partial large subunit ribosomal RNA". It matches the Rfam family "Eukaryotic large subunit ribosomal RNA", at positions 22 to 627 of the family's 3401-position model. Lineage: Eukaryota; Fungi; Neocallimastigomycota; Neocallimastigomycetes; Neocallimastigales. The record is from RNAcentral.
CAUAGCGACUAUCGUGGCAUAUCAAUAAGCGGAGGAAAAGAAACUAACAAGGAUUCCCUUAGUAACGGCGAGUGAAGCGGGAAGAGCUCAAAUUUGAAAUCUUCAAGGUUCUACCUUGACAAAUUGUAGUUUAUAAGAAGUGUUUUCUGUUAGUAGAGUUGGCUAAAAGUUCUUUGGAAUAGGACAUCAUAGAGGGUGAGAAUCCCGUAUUUGUACAGUUACUUUCUAGCUGUGUGAUACACUUUCAACGAGUCGGAUUGUUUGGGAAUGCAGUCCAAAAUGGGUGGUAAAUUUCAUCUAAAGCUAAAUAUUGGCGAGAGACCGAUAGCGAACAAGUACCGUGAGGGAAAGAUGAAAAGAACUUUGAAAAGAGAGUUAAACAGUACGUGAAAUUGUCAAAAGGGAAGCGUUUGACACCAGUGUUGUUUUCUCGAAAAUCAAUUAAAAAUGGCGGAUUUUGUGUUGUAUUGACCUUAUCAAGCUUUCUGCACUUUUUUCCUGUCUUUUUUAAUGCACUUUUCGUUUAACAAGUCAACAUCAAUUUCUUUUGUUGUAAAAGAGUCAUUGGAAGGUGGCUUUCUUUUCGGAGAAAGUGUUUAUAGCCUUUGACUUCUGCAAUCGGAGAGAUUGAGGUCUGCAGCGUAGAUCCUUCGGGGUUAGAUACAUUUGUGCUAAGCUAUAGCCUUUCAUAGACAACUUGUUGACUAUGAUCAGUCAUGUAGCUUACUCGCUUAUGCUAUUUUACCUACGCUUAGGAUGUUGAUAGUCACAGCGUGUAC